GACAGAGGUUGCAAACGUUGUUCGGAAUUACUGGGCAUAAAGCGCACGUAGGCGGUCCGUUAAGUCAUGUGUGAAAUCCCCCGGCUCAACCGGGGAAUUGCGCCUGAUACUGGCGGGCUAGAGGUCGAUAGGGGUGAGCGGAACUCCAGGUGGAGCGGUGAAAUGCGUAGAUAUCUGGAGGAACACCGGUGGCGAAAGCGGCUCACUGGAUCGAAACUGACGCUGAGGUGCGAAAGCGUGGGGAGCAAACAGG
This 253-nucleotide ribosomal RNA is filed under the name uncultured bacterium. RNAcentral describes it as "partial 16S ribosomal RNA". It matches the Rfam family "Bacterial small subunit ribosomal RNA", at positions 524 to 776 of the family's 1533-position model. The record is from RNAcentral.